CUGGGUGGGGCGGGGAGGAGGGACAGCGACUGGUGCAGUGGUACCGGGCCAGUGCAAGGGCAGAGGCUGGGAGGCAGAUUCCUGCAGAACUCCAGAGGCAGCAGCUGUCCUGAGACACACACAGCUUGAAUGGAGCCAGAUUGUGCCUAGUCAGCAACCCAGCUCUGCUUUUGAAGGUGCCGUCUUCUAUGUGAGGAUCUCGGCUUUCAUUAAAACAAACAACGACCAUAGACCCCCCCUUGGGCAUGGCAGGGUCUACCCGGCUGGCUCGGAGGGAAGAGCCCUUCCUCCUGACACAUCAGCGACACUUAUUGUUUUGAUGCCCCUGUUUGACGAACUGGGAAAGUUCUUAAUGUUUUCUCUGUGUUGGUGCCUCAGUGUCCCCAUGGCAGUUCUUAAGUAUCUGGCAGAGCAAAGGGCCAGUGCACCUAAAUGCCUGACACUCUGUCUCUUUGCAACUGAUGGCCUGGGCCCCUCCUCUGCAAAAGUGCCAGCUGAAGGUGUUGGAGACAAAGGGAUCAGAUGACCUCCUGGCCCGGGAAAGGGGCUGAGCAGAGAGGAGGGGCUAGGGGGGGUUGUUAGUCUGGAGCUGGCUGAGGGCAGACGU
This 607-nucleotide long non-coding RNA is filed under the name Gopherus agassizii (Agassiz's desert tortoise). RNAcentral describes it as "lncRNA (ENSGAGG00000020778.1)". Lineage: Eukaryota; Metazoa; Chordata; Testudines; Testudinidae. The record is from RNAcentral.